UACGUAGGUGGCAAGCGUUGUCCGGAAUUAUUGGGCGUAAAGAGCGUGUAGGCGGCCAGAUAGGUCUGCUGUGAAAACUCGAGGCUCAACCUCGAGCUGUCGGCGGAAACCAUUUGGCUAGAGUCCGGAAGAGGAGAGUGGAAUUCCUGGUGUAGCGGUGAAAUGCGCAGAUAUCAGGAAGAACACCUAUGGCGAAGGCAGCUCUCUGGGACGGUACUGACGCUGAGACGCGAAAGCGUGGGGAGCGAACAGG
RNAcentral lists this ribosomal RNA (253 nucleotides) under uncultured bacterium. RNAcentral's name for it is "partial 16S ribosomal RNA". It matches the Rfam family "Bacterial small subunit ribosomal RNA", at positions 524 to 776 of the family's 1533-position model. The record is from RNAcentral.